This 764-nucleotide ribosomal RNA is filed under the name uncultured Streptococcus sp. Its description in RNAcentral is "bacterial SSU rRNA". It matches the Rfam family "Bacterial small subunit ribosomal RNA", at positions 28 to 769 of the family's 1533-position model. The record is from RNAcentral. Lineage: Bacteria; Bacillati; Bacillota; Bacilli; Lactobacillales; Streptococcaceae.
GACGAACGCUGGCGGCGUGCCUAAUACAUGCAAGUAGAACGCUGAAGAGAGGAGCUUGCUCUUCUUGGAUGAGUUGCGAACGGGUGAGUAACGCGUAGGUAACCUGCCUGGUAGCGGGGGAUAACUAUUGGAAACGAUAGCUAAUACCGCAUAAAAUUGAUUAUUGCAUGAUAAUCCAUUGAAAGGUGCAACUGCACCACUACCAGAUGGACCUGCGUUGUAUUAGCUAGUUGGUGGGGUAACGGCUCACCAAGGCGACGAUACAUAGCCGACCUGAGAGGGUGAUCGGCCACACUGGGACUGAGACACGGCCCAGACUCCUACGGGAGGCAGCAGUAGGGAAUCUUCGGCAAUGGACGGAAGUCUGACCGAGCAACGCCGCGUGAGUGAAGAAGGUUUUCGGAUCGUAAAGCUCUGUUGUAAGAGAAGAACGAGUGUGAGAGUGGAAAGUUCACACUGUGACGGUAUCUUACCAGAAAGGGACGGCUAACUACGUGCCAGCAGCCGCGGUAAUACGUAGGUCCCGAGCGUUGUCCGGAUUUAUUGGGCGUAAAGCGAGCGCAAGCGGUUAGAUAAGUCUGAAGUUAAAGGCUGUGGCUUAACCAUAGUACGCUUUGGGAACUGUUUUAACUUGAGUGCAAGAGGGGAGAGUGGGUAUUCCAUGUGUAUCGGUGAAAUGCGUAGAUAUAUGCGAGGAACACCGGCUGGCGAAAAGCGGCUCUCUGGCUAGUAACUGACGCUGAAGGCUCGAAAGCGUGGGGAGC